UUACACCCUUGUGUAUGCUGCAACCACAGCUGACAACAAUUACACAGCAAUGUACAAUGUAACAACAGCUGGCACAACUUUACACAAUGGUGUGGCGACAACCAGUAACACAACAGUUAGUACAACAACAAUAUCUCCCAACUACACAAUGAUAAAGAGCACAACUACAGCCUCUAACAAUUACACAACACCAGUGAUCAUUACUCCGACUAUUCUAUCUCAAAAUAAAACAACUGCAAUUAUUGGAACCACAGAGAAAAGCACAACUGCUGCAGUGUCUCACAGUACUAAACCUACUUCAGCUCCACUGAAGAACCAGACUGCAAAUUUCACCACAGUGAGUUUGACUCAUGUCACAACAAUAAGCAAAAAUGAAACCAUGUCCACCACAGCUGCUAGCACCGUCCAAACAGAUGACAGACCAGAGGCCGGUUUAACGACAACAACGACAACAACGACAACAACGACAACAACAACAGAAAAUGCAUCUGUUGUUAUUAUCUCACCCGCAACCACUGCAACUACUAUAACAGGUCAUGGUCCACAAGAUUUAAAUGGCACAACUGCUGAGGUUUCUUUGACUUAUACAACACCGCUCACCAAAACUACUACAACCACCACAGUGGCUGAGAACACAGGAACUUCCACAACUGAUGUACAAACAACUGAUGAAGCAGUCUACCUGUUGAAUCAAACACAGGCUAUAUCUCUGCUCAACGCCUCUCAAGUGUCAGUGUUGGUUGAGACGCUGGAGAAGCAUCUGGACAGUCCCUCUGUUUCACCAUCAGUGGUAAUCAAA
Molecule: long non-coding RNA, 799 nt
Organism: Astatotilapia calliptera (eastern happy)
Lineage: Eukaryota; Metazoa; Chordata; Actinopteri; Cichliformes; Cichlidae
Source: Ensembl